This 665-nucleotide ribosomal RNA is filed under the name uncultured bacterium. RNAcentral describes it as "bacterial SSU rRNA". It matches the Rfam family "Bacterial small subunit ribosomal RNA", at positions 840 to 1504 of the family's 1533-position model. The record is from RNAcentral.
UCAGAAACGAAGCUAACGCGUUAAGUUCUCCGCCUGGGAAGUACGGUCGCAAGACUAAAACUCAAAGGAAUUGACGGGGGCCCGCACAAGCGGUGGAUUAUGUGGUUUAAUUCGAAGCAACGCGCAGAACCUUACCUAGGCUUGAAAUCCUGCGAAUUCGACGUAAUGGUUGAAGUGCCCUUCGGGGAGCGCAGAGACAGGUGCUGCAUGGCUGUCGUCAGCUCGUGUUGUGAAAUGUUGGGUUAAGUCUCGCAACGAGCGCAACCCCUAUCUUUAGUUGCCAGCAUUAAGUUGGGCACUCUAGAGAGACUGCCUGGGUUAACCAGGAGGAAGGUGGGGAUGACGUCAAGUCCUCAUGGCCCUUAUGUCUAGGGCUACACACGUAAUACAAUGGUGCGAACAAAGGGAAGCGAACUCGCGAGGGGGAGCAAAUCUCAAAAAACGCAUCUCAGUCCGGAUUGAAGUCUGAAACUCGACUUCAUGAAGUUGGGAUCGCUAGUAAUCGCGGAUCAGAACGCCGCGGUGAAUACGUUCCCGGGCCUUGUACACACCGCCCGUCACACCAUGGAAGUUGGUUCAAUCUUAAGACGUGACUCUAACCGCAAGGGGGAGAGCGUCUACGGUGGGACCGAUGACUGGGGUGAAGUCGUAACAAGGUAACCAAU